This 497-nucleotide ribosomal RNA is filed under the name uncultured bacterium. Its description in RNAcentral is "partial 16S ribosomal RNA". It matches the Rfam family "Bacterial small subunit ribosomal RNA", at positions 28 to 507 of the family's 1533-position model. The record is from RNAcentral.
GAUGAACGCUGGCGGCGUGCCUAAUACAUGCAAGUCGAGCGAACGGACGAGAAGCUUGCUUCUCUGAUGUUAGCGGCGGACGGGUGGGUAACACGUGGAUAACCUACCUAUAAGACUGGGAUAACUUCGGGAAACCGGAGCUAAUACCGGAUAAUAUUUUGAACCGCAUGGUUCAAAAGUGAAAGACGGUCUUGCUGUCACUUAUAGAUGGAUCCGCACUGCAUUAGCUAGUUGGUAAGGUAACGGCUUACCAAGGCAACGAUGCAUAGCCGACCUGAGAGGGUGAUCGGCCACACUGGAACUGAGACACGGUCCAGACUCCUACGGGAGGCAGCAGUAGGGAAUCUUCCGCAAUGGGCGAAAGCCUGACGGAGCAACGCCGCGUGAGUGAUGAAGGUCUUCGGAUCGUAAAACUCUGUUAUUAGGGAAGAACAUAUGUGUAAGUAACUGUGCACAUCUUGACGGUACCUAAUCAGAAAGCCACGGCUAACUACGUG